Molecule: non-coding RNA, 12211 nt
Organism: Xyrichtys novacula (pearly razorfish)
Lineage: Eukaryota; Metazoa; Chordata; Actinopteri; Labriformes; Labridae
Source: the annotation of a GenBank genome assembly
CAUGUGCAUGUCUCUGUUCUAGCUCCAAGGUGAAUCUUCACUGCUCAUGUUCUCCUCAGAAGCACUCACCUCACUCCCCUCAGGUUACUGUACACAUGCACCAACUGCCUGCUUCAGGUUUGGAUGGAGCUUCAUGGUUGUCUUUUGGAGAAAUGACCAGUCAAGUUGUGUUUGAAAUUUGAUUUUUUUCAGGGGCAAAAGGAGCCUCUGCAUUCUUGUCAAAUAUGUAAAUAGCAUGUUUUUGCAGGUGCUAAAAAACAGACUCUGAGUGUGUGUGUGUGUCUGUGUGUGUGUGUGUGUGUGUGUGUGUGUGUGUGUGUAUGUUGGCGUGUGUGUAUAUGUGUGUGUAUCCUGCAGUAAUCUGUACUCCUGCAGUGGCCAAAAAGACUUUUAAGAAUGUGGAUUUUUGGGUCAUCUUUGGCGCCCCCUAGAACUGCAGUACUCUGUACUCCUGCAGUGGCCAAAAUGACUUUUAAGAAUGUGGAUUUUUGGGUCAUCUUUGGCGCCCCCUAGAACGUAAACCGUGGGGUGCAGCGUCAUGAUUUUUACAACUUUGAAUGGGCAUGGGGUGUAGAUUGCCCUGAGCAAAUUUGGUAUCGGUGGGACGAAAGCCUUAGGAGGAGAUAGCCACAUUCCAAUGUGUGCGAAUCGGCAAAAAAUGCAAAAUAGCCCUUUAACCGUACAUUAUACAGAUACGCGCUCUUUGACUUUUUCGUAGAUCUAAUUGAGAUACACAUGAUUGUCAAUUUUUGUGUCAUUUUGACAAAGCGUUCAGGCGUGACACUCAACAAUGUGUAUUUUUAUGUAAGGGGACAAGAAAAAAUUGACUUUUUUCUCCUACCAUGGGGGGCGCUCUUUUGGGGAGUAAAAAUUCCUUCACAAAUGUGUUGAUGGCUGGACAUUGCAUCAUCCUAGAAAACUUGGAGGCCAGUGAGGACAAAAAUAAAAAGUUAUAAAACAUUUAAGAAUGUGGAUUUUUGGGUUAUUUUUGGCGCCCCCUAGAACCUAAACCAUGGGGUGCAGCAUCAUGAUUUGAAUAACUUUUAAUGGCCAUGGGGUGUAGAUUGGCCUGAGCAAAUGUGGUGCCGGUGGAACGAAAGCCUUCGGAGGAGUUAGCGAAAUUCCAAUGUGUGCGGAUCGGCAAAAAAUGCGGAAUAACCCUUUAACCGUACAUUUGACAGAUACGCGCGCAUUGACUUUUUCGUAGAUCUUAUUGAGAUACAUGUGUGUGUCAAUUUUUGUGUCAUUUUGCCAAAGCGUACAGGUGUUACACUCAACAAUGUGUAUUUUCACCUUAGGGGACAAGAAAAAAUGGACUUUUUUCUCCUGCCAUGGGGGGGCGCUCUUUUGGGGAGUAAAAAUUCCUUCACAAAUGUGUUGAUGGCUGGACAUUGCAUCAUCCUAGAAAACUUGGAGGCCAGUGAGGGCAAAAAUAAAAAGUUAUAAGACUUUUAAAUAUGUGGAUCUUAGGGUUAUCUUUGGCGCCCCCUAGAACCUAAACCGUGGGGUGCAGCGUCAUGAUUUGAAUAACUUUUAAUGGCCAUGGGGUGUAGAUUGGCCUGAGCAAAUGUGGUGCCGGUGGAACGAAAGCCUUCGGAGGAGUUAGCGAAAUUCCAAUGUGUGCGGAUCGGCAAAAAAUGCGAAAUAACCCUUUAACCGUACAUUUGACAGAUACGCCCGCACUGACUUUUUUGUAGAUCUUAUUGAGAUACAUGUGUGUGUCAAUUUUUGUGUCAUUUUGACAAAGCGUACAGGCGUGACAGUGAAUAGUGUGAAUUUUCACCUUAGGGGGCGCUAUGGAGCCAUUUUGCAUUUUCUUGUUUGGGCGACUUCGGAAUAUCACAUUUUUCACCAGGCCCGGUCGUCCUGCCAAAUUUCAUGAGUUUUCGCCAGUGGGAAGUGGGCCAUUUUCCAGUUCAAAGGGGAGGAAAAAUAAUAAUAAUAACAAAAGAAGGAAACUACAGGAACAAGAGGGCUCUCGCAGCUGCUUAGCAGCUACGCUCGGGCCCUAAAGAAAGAAAGAAAGAAAGAAACAAAGAAAAACCACUUGGGGAAUAAUAGGGCUCUCGCAGCUGCUUAGCAGCUACGCUCGGGCCCUAACUAGGGCCCCGUUGGGGCACUGGCGGGCCCGAGCCGUGUCACGCCGCCCCCAGCGCGACCGCCUCCCCCACCCGAUCGCGUCACACUCAAGGUCCAAAGAUGGUGUGCGCACUUGUUUGUGGUCAUUUACCAUUAUAAUGAACGGGAGGCGCAGUUUCUACCAAAACGCUCGCUGCAGAAAAACUCCAUGUCCUAUUUGAAAAAAGUCUGGACCAUGAGUGAGGGCACAAACACAGCUAAGAUAUAUCCAAAUGGCAAGUUGCUCCUCCUUUCGCUUUUGCCGAGAGAGCAGUGAUUUGAGCCAUUGAAUGAUGAACAGGAAAAACUUGACUUUAUUCUCCUGCCAUGGGGGGGCGCUCUUUUAAAGAGAAAAAACUCCUUCACAAAUGUGUUGAUGGCUGGACAUUGCAUCAUCCUAGAAAACAUGGAGGCCAGUGAGGACAAAAAUAAAAAGUUAUAAGACUUUUAAAUAUGUGGAUUUUAGGGUUAUAUUUGGCGCCCCCUAGAACCUAAACCGUGGGGUGCAGCGUCAUGAUUUGAAUAACUUUUAAUGGCCAUGGGGUGUAGAUUGGCCUGAGCAAAUGUGGUGCCGGUGGAACGAAAGCCUUCGGAGGAAUUAGCGAAAUUCCAAUGUGUGCGAAUCUGCAAAAAAUGCGAAAUAACCCUUUAACUGUACAUUUUACAGAUACGUGGCCAUUGACUUUUUCGAAGAUCUUAUUGAAAUACACGUGUAUGUAAAAUUUUGUGUCAAUACGACAAAACAUACAGGCGUAGCACUCAACAAUGUGUAUUUUCACCUUAGUGGACAAGAAAAAAUUGACUUUUUUCUCCUGCCAUGGGGGGGCGCUCUUUUGCCGAGUAAAAAUUCCUUCACAAAUGUGUUGAUGGCUGGACAUUGCAUCAUCCUAGAAAACUUGGAGGCCAGUGGGGACAAAAAUAAAAAGUUAUAAGACUUUUAAAUAUGUGGAUUUUAGGGUUAUCUUUGGCGCCCCCUAGAACCUAAACCGUGGGGUGCAGCGUCAUGAUUUGAAUAACUUUUAAUGGCCAUGGGGUGUAGAUUGGCCUGAGCAAAUCCGGUGCCGGUGGAACGAAAGCCUUCGGAGGAGUUAGCGAAAUUCCAAUGUGUGCGGAUCGGCAAAAAAUGCGGAAUAACCCUUUAACCGUACAUUUGACAGAUACGCGCGCAUUGACUUUUUCGUAGAUCUUAUUGAGAUACACGUGUGUGUCAAUUUUUGUGUCAUUUUGCCAAAGCGUACAGGUGUUACACUCAACAAUGUGUAUUUUCACCUUAGGGGACAAGAAAAAAUGGACUUUUUUCUCCUGCCAUGGGGGGCGCUCUUUUGGGGAGUAAAAAUUCCUUCACAAAUGUGUUGAUGGCUGGACAUUGCAUCAUCCUAGAAAACUUGGAGGCCAGUGAGGGCAAAAAUAAAAAGUUAUAAGACUUUUAAAUAUGUGGAUCUUAGGGUUAUCUUUGGCGCCUCCUAGAACCUAAACCGUGGGGUGCAGCGUCAUGAUUUGAAUAACUUUUAAUGGCCAUGGGGUGUAGAUUGGCCUGAGCAAAUGUGGUGCCGGUGGAACGAAAGCCUUCGGAGGAGUUAGCGAAAUUCCAAUGUGUGCGAAUCUGCAAAAAAUGCGAAAUAACCCUUUAACUGUACAUUUUACAGAUACGUGGCCAUUGACUUUUUCGAAGAUCUUAUUGAAAUACACGUGUAUGUAAAAUUUUGUGUCAAUACGACAAAACAUACAGGCGUAGCACUCAACAAUGUGUAUUUUCACCUUAGUGGACAAGAAAAAAUUGACUUUUUUCUCCUGCCAUGGGGGGGCGCUCUUUUGCCGAGUAAAAAUUCCUUCACAAAUGUGUUGAUGGCUGGACAUUGCAUCAUCCUAGAAAACUUGGAGGCCAGUGGGGACAAAAAUAAAACGUUAUAAGACUUUUAAAUAUGUGGAUUUUAGGGUUAUCUUUGGCGCCCCCUAGAACCUAAACUGUGGGGUGCAGCGUCAUGAUUUGAAUAACUUUUAAUGGCCAUGGGGUGUAGAUUGGCCUGAGCAAAUGUGGUGCCGGUGGAACGAAAGCCUUCGGAGGAGUUAGCGAAAUUCCAAUGUGUGCGGAUCGGCAAAAAAUGCGGAAUAACCCUUUAACCGUACAUUUGACAGAUACGCGCGCAUUGACUUUUUCGUAGAUCUUAUUGAGAUACACGUGUGUGUCAAUUUUUGUGUCAUUUUGCCAAAGCGUACAGGUGUUACACUCAACAAUGUGUAUUUUCACCUUAGGGGACAAGAAAAAAUGGACUUUUUUCUCCUGCCAUGGGGGGGCGCUCUUUUGGGGAGUAAAAAUUCCUUCACAAAUGUGUUGAUGGCUGGACAUUGCAUCAUCCUAGAAAACUUGGAGGCCAGUGAGGGCAAAAAUAAAAAGUUAUAAGACUUUUAAAUAUGUGGAUCUUAGGGUUAUCUUUGGCGCCUCCUAGAACCUAAACCGUGGGGUGCAGCGUCAUGAUUUGAAUAACUUUUAAUGGCCAUGGGGUGUAGAUUGGCCUGAGCAAAUGUGGUGCCGGUGGAACGAAAGCCUUCGGAGGAGUUAGCGAAAUUCCAAUGUGUGCGGAUCGUCAAAAAAUGCGAAAUAACCCUUUAACCGUACAUUUGACAGAUACGCCCGCACUGACUUUUUUGUAGAUCUUAUUGAGAUACAUGUGUGUGUCAAUUUUUGUGUCAUUUUGACAAAGCGUACAGGCGUGACAGUGAAUAGUGUGAAUUUUCACCUUAGGGGGCGCUAUGGAGCCAUUUUGCAUUUUCUUGUUUGGGCGACUUCGGAAUAUCAAAUUUUUCACCAGGCCCGGUCGUCCUGCCAAAUUUCAUGAGUUUUCGCCAGUGGGAAGUGGGCCAUUUUCCAGUUCAAAGGGGAGGAAAAAUAAUAACUAGGGCCCCGUUGGGGCACUGGCGGGCCCGAGCCGUGUCGCGCUGCCCCCCCCAACGCGCUGCCUCCCCGUCCCAUUCGCGUCCUCUGGCCAUCGUCCUCUCUGGUAACGCCCAUCACUGCAAAGACCCUUUCCUUCAUCGGCGUUUGCUGUUCUUCCUGCCAGUGCGUGUUGCUUUCACUUACACUUGCCACAGCCAGCCUCGUGAGUGCCUAGCCUAUUGGAUAUCACUGUCAUCUACACAGGACAGUCAUAACCUUUCUAUUAAUACUUUGUUUUUUAAUUUCACAUUAAUUUCCAUAUUGUAUAAAUGACUGGAAAAAACUUGAGCCCCUGCCCCUGUAUAAUCAUGUGCACGUCCCUGUUCUAGCUCCAAGGUGAAUCUUCACUGCUCAUGUUCUCCUCAGAAAUAGUCACCUCACUCCCCUCAGGUUACUGUACACAUGCACCAACUAUCUGCUUCAGGUUUGGAUGGAGCUUCAUGGUUGUCUUUUGGAGAAAUGACCAGUCAAGUUGUGUUUGAAAUUUGAUUUUUUUCAGGGGCAAAAGGAAGCCUCUGCAUUCUUGUCAAAUAUGUAAACAGCAUGUUUUUGCAGGUGCUAAAAAACAGACUCUGAGUGUGUGUGUGUGUGUGUCUGUGUGUGUGUGUGUGUUGGCGUGUGUGUAUAUGUGUGUGUAUCCUGCAGUACUCUGUACUCCUGCAGUGGCCAAAAAGACUUUUAAGAAUGUGGAUUUUUGGGUCAUCUUUGGCGCCCCCUAGAACUGCAGUACUCUGUACUCCUGCAGUGGCCAAAAUGACUUUUAAGAAUGUGGAUUUUUGGGUCAUCUUUGGCGCCCCCUAGAACGUAAACCGUGGGGUGCAGCGUCAUGAUUUUUACAACUUUGAAUGGGCAUGGGGUGUAGAUUGCCCUGAGCAAAUUUGGUAUCAGUGGGACGAAAGCCUUAGGAGGAGAUAGCCACAUUCCAAUGUGUGCGAAUCGGCAAAAAAUGCGAAAUAGCCCUUUAACCGUACAUUAUACAGAUACGCGCUCUUUGACUUUUUCGUAGAUCUAAUUGAGAUACACAUGAUUGUCAAUUUUUGUGUCAAUAUGACAAAGCGUUCAGGCGUGACACUCAACAAUGUGUAUUUUCAUGUAAGGGGACAAGAAAAAAUUGACUUUUUUCUCCUGCCAUGGGGGGCGCUCUUUUGGGGAGUAAAAAUUCCUUCACAAAUGUGUUGAUGGCUGGACAUUGCAUCAUCCUAGAAAACUUGGAGGGCAGUGAGGACAAAAAUAAAAAGUUAUAAGACUUUUAAGAAUGUGGAUUUUUGGGUUAUCUUUGGCGCCCCCUAGAACCUAAACCGUGGGGUGCAGCGUCAUGAUUUGUACAACUUUUAAUGGCCAUGGGGUGUAGACUGGCCUGAGCAAAUGUGGUGCCGGUGGAACGAAAGCCUUCGGAGGAGUUAGCGAAAUUCCAAUGUGUGCGGAUCGGCAAAAAAUGCGAAAUAACCCUUUAACCGUACAUUUGACAGAUACGCCCGCACUGACUUUUUUGUAGAUCUUAUUGAGAUACAUAUGUGUGUCAAUUUUUGUGUCAAUAUGACAAAACGUACAGACGUGACAGUCAAUAGUGUGAAUUUCCACCUUAGGGGGCGCUAUGGAGCCAUUUUGCAUUUUAUUGUUUGGGCGACUACAAAAUAUCGAAUUUUUCACCAGGCCCGGUCGUCCUGCCAAAUUUCAUGAGUUUUCGCCAGUGGGAAGUGGGCCAUUUUCCAGUUUAAAGCGGAGGAAAAAUAAUAAUAACUAGGGCCCCGUUGGGGCACUGGCGGGCCCGAGCCGUGUCACGCCGCCCCCAGCACGACCGCCUCCCCCACCCGAUCGCGUCACACUCAAGGUCCAAAGAUGGUGUGCGCACUUGUUUGUGGUCAUUUACCAUUAAAAUGAACGGGAGGCGCAGUUUCUACCAAAACGCUCGCUGCAGAAAAAGUCCAUGUCCUAUUUGAAAAAAGUCUGGACCAUGAGUGAGGGCACAAACACAGCUAAGAUAUAUCCAAAUGGCAAGUUGCUCCUCCUUUCGCUUUUGCCGAGAGAGCAGUGCGUUUGAGCCAUUGAAUGAUGAACAGGAAAAACUUGACUUUAUUCUCCUGCCAUGGGGGGGCGCUCUUUUAACGAGAAAAAACUCCUUCACAAAUGUGUUGAUGGCUGGACAUUGCAUCAUCCUAGAAAACAUGGAGGCCAGUGAGGACAAAAAUAAAAAGUUAUAAGACUUUUAAAUAUGUGGAUUUUUGGGUUAUCUUUGGCGCCCCCUAGAACCUAAACCGUGGGGUGCAGCGUCAUGAUUUGUACAACUUUUAAUGGCCAUGGGGUGUAGACUGGCCUGAGCAAAUGUGGUGCCGGUGGAACGAAAGCCUUCGGAGGAGUUAGCGAAAUUCCAAUGUGUGCGGAUCGGCAAAAAAUGCGAAAUAACCCUUUAACCGUACAUUUGACAGAUACGCCCGCACUGACUUUUUUGUAGAUCUUAUUGAGAUACAUAUGUGUGUCAAUUUUUGUGUCAAUAUGACAAAACGUACAGACGUGACAGUCAAUAGUGUGAAUUUCCACCUUAGGGGGCGCUAUGGAGCCAUUUUGCAUUUUAUUGUUUGGGCGACUACAAAAUAUCGAAUUUUUCACCAGGCCCGGUCGUCCUGCCAAAUUUCAUGAGUUUUCGCCAGUGGGAAGUGGGCCAUUUUCCAGUUUAAAGCGGAGGAAAAAUAAUAAUAACUAGGGCCCCGUUGGGGCACUGGCGGGCCCGAGCCGUGUCACGCCGCCCCCAGCACGACCGCCUCCCCCACCCGAUCGCGUCACACUCAAGGUCCAAAGAUGGUGUGCGCACUUGUUUGUGGUCAUUUACCAUUAAAAUGAACGGGAGGCGCAGUUUCUACCAAAACGCUCGCUGCAGAAAAAGUCCAUGUCCUAUUUGAAAAAAGUCUGGACCAUGAGUGAGGGCACAAACACAGCUAAGAUAUAUCCAAAUGGCAAGUUGCUCCUCCUUUCGCUUUUGCCGAGAGAGCAGUGCGUUUGAGCCAUUGAAUGAUGAACAGGAAAAACUUGACUUUAUUCUCCUGCCAUGGGGGGGCGCUCUUUUAACGAGAAAAAACUCCUUCACAAAUGUGUUGAUGGCUGGACAUUGCAUCAUCCUAGAAAACAUGGAGGCCAGUGAGGACAAAAAUAAAAAGUUAUAAGACUUUUAAAUAUGUGGAUUUUAGGGUUAUCUUUGGCGCCCCCUAGAACCUAAACCGUGGGGUGCAGCGUCAUGAUUUGAAUAACUUUUAAUGGCCAUGGGGUGUAGAUUGGCCUGAGCAAAUGUGGUGCCGGUGGAACGAAAGCCUUCGGAGGAGUUAGCGAAAUUCCAAUGUGUGCGAAUCUGCAAAAAAUGCGAAAUAACCCUUUAACCGUACAUUUUACAGAUACGUGGCCAUUGACUUUUUCGAAGAUCUUAUUGAAAGACACGUGUAUGUAAAAUUUUGUGUCAAUACGACAAAACAUACAGGCGUAGCACUCAACAAUGUGUAUUUUCACCUUAGUGGACAAGAAAAAAUGGACUUUUUUCUCCUGCCAUGGGGGGCGCUCUUUUGGCGAGUAAAAAUUCCUUCACAAAUGUGUUGAUGGCUGGACAUUGCAUCAUCCUAGAAAACUUGGAGGCCAGUGGGGACAAAAAUAAAAAGUUAUAAGACUUUUAAAUAUGUGGAUUUUACGGUUAUCUUUGGCGCCCCCUAGAACCUAAACCGUGGGGUGCAGCGUCAUGAUUUGAAUAACUUUUAAUGGCCAUGGGGUGUAGAUUGGCCUGAGAAAAUGUGGUGCCGGUGGAACGAAAGCCUUCGGAGGAGUUAGCGAAAUUCCAAUGUGUGCGGAUCGGCAAAAAAUGCGGAAUAACCCUUUAACCGUACAUUUGACAGAUACGUGCGCAUUGACUUUUUUGUAGAUCUUAUUGAGAUACAUGUGUGUCUCAAUUUUGGUGUCAUUUUGCCAAAGCGUACAGGUGUUACACUCAACAAUGUGUAUUUUCACCUUAGGGGACAAGAAAAAAUGGACUUUUUUCUCCUGCCAUGGGGGGCGCUCUUUUGGGGAGUAAAAAUUCCUUCACAAAUGUGUUGAUGGCUGGACAUUGCAUCAUCCUAGAAAACUUGGAGGCCAGUGAGGGCAAAAAUAAAAAGUUAUAAGACUUUUAAAUAUGUGGAUCUUAGGGUUAUCUUUGGCGCCCCCUAGAACCUAAACCGUGGGGUGCAGCGUCAUGAUUUGAAUAACUUUUAAUGGCCAUGGGGUGUAGAUUGGCCUGAGCAAAUGUGGUGCCGGUGGAACGAAAGCCUUCGGAGGAGUUAGCGAAAUUCCAAUGUGUGCGGAUCGGCAAAAAAUGCGAAAUAACCCUUUAAACGUACAUUUGACAGAUACGCCCACACUGACUUUUUUGUAGAUCUUAUUGAGAUACAUGUGUGUGUCAAUUUUUGUGUCAUUUUGACAAAGCGUACAGGCGUGACAGUGAAUAGUGUGAAUUUUCACCUUAGGGGGCGCUAUGGAGCCAUUUUGCAUUUUCUUGUUUGGGCGACUUCGGAAUAUCAAAUUUUUCACCAGGCCCGGUCGUCCUGCCAAAUUUCAUGAGUUUUCGCCAGUGGGAAGUGGGCCAUUUUCCAGUUCAAAGGGGAGGAAAAAUAAUAAUAAUAACUAGGGCCCCGGUGGGGCACUGUCGGGCCCGAGCCGCGUCGCGCCGCCCCCAGCGCGACCGCCUCCCCCUCCCGAUCGCGUCACACUCAAGGUCCAAAGAUGGUGUGCGCACUUGUCUGUGGUCAUUUCCCAUUAUAAUGAAUGGGAGGCGCAGUUUCUACCAAAACACUCGCUGCAGACAAACUUCAUGUCCUAUUUGAAAAAAGUCUGGACCAUGAGUGAGGGCACAAACACAGCUAUGAUAUAUCGAAAUGGCAGGUUGCUCCUCCUUACGGUGUUGCCUGGAGAGCGAUGCGAUUGAGCCAUUGAGCGAUGGGCAGGGUUAACUUGACUUUUUCUCCUGCCUUGGGGGGGAUGUGGAUUCCUUUAAGAAUGUGGAUUUUUGGGUCAUCUUUGGCGCCCCCUAGAACGUAAACCGUGGGGUGCAGCGUCAUGAUUUUUACAACUUUGAAUGGCCAUGGGGUGUAGAUUGGCCUGAGCAAAUUUGGUGUCAGUGGGACGAAAGCCUUAGGAGGAGUUAGCCACAUUCCAAUGUGUGCGAAUCGGCAAAAAAUGCAAAAUAGCCCUUUAACCGUACAUUUGACAGAUACGCGCGCAUUGACUUUUUUGUAGAUCUUAUUGAGAUACAUAUGUGUGUCAAUUUUUGUGUCAAUAUGAUAAAGCGUACAGGCGUGACAGUCAAUAGUGUGAAUUUCCACCUUAGGGGACAAGAAAAAAUUGACUUUUUUCUCCUGCCAUGGGGGGGCGCUCUUUUGGGGAGUAAAAAUUCCUUCACAAAUGUGUUGAUGGCUGGACAUUGCAUCAUCCUAGAAAACUUGGAGGCCAGUGAGGACAAAAAUAAAAAGUUAUAAGACUUUUAAAUAUGUGGAUUUUAGGGUUAUCUUUGGCGCCCCCUAGAACCUAAACCGUGGGGUGCAGCGUCAUGAUUUGAAUAACUUUUAAUGGCCAUGGGGUGUAGAUUGGCCUGAGCAAAUGUGGUGCCGGUGGAACGAAAGCCUUCGGAGGAGUUAGCGAAAUUCCAAUGUGUGCGGAUCGGCAAAAAAUGCGGAAUAACCCUUUAACCGUACAUUUGACAGAUACGCGCGCAUUGACUUUUUCGUAGAUCUUAUUGAGAUACAUGUGUGUGUCAAUUUUUGUGUCAUUUUGCCAAAGCGUACAGGUGUUACACUCAACAAUGUGUAUUUUCACCUUAGGGGACAAGAAAAAAUGGACUUUUUUCUCCUGCCAUGGGGGGGCGCUCUUUUGGGGAGUAAAAAUUCCUUCACAAAUGUGUUGAUGGCUGGACAUUGCAUCAUCCUAGAAAACUUGGAGGCCAGUGAGGGCAAAAAUAAAAAGUUAUAAGACUUUUAAAUAUGUGGAUCUUAGGGUUAUCUUUGGCGCCCCCUAGAACCUAAACCGUGGGGUGCAGCGUCAUGAUUUGAAUAACUUUUAAUGGCCAUGGGGUGUAGAUUGGCCUGAGCAAAUGUGGUGCCGGUGGAACGAAAGCCUUCGGAGGAGUUAGCGAAAUUCCAAUGUGUGCGGAUCGGCAAAAAAUGCGAAAUAACCCUUUAACCGUACAUUUGACAGAUACGCCCGCACUGACUUUUUUGUAGAUCUUAUUGAGAUACAUGUGUGUGUCAAUUUUUGUGUCAUUUUGACAAAGAGUACACGCGUGACAGUCAAUAGUGUGAAUUUUCACCUUAGGGGGCGCUAUGGAGCCAUUUUGCAUUUUCUUGUUUGGGCGACUUCGGAAUAUCAAAUUUUUCACCAGGCCCGGUCGUCCUGCCAAAUUUCAUGAGUUUUCGCCAGUGGGAAGUGGGCCAUUUUCCAGUUCAAAGGGGAGGAAAAAUAAUAAUAAUAAUAACUAGGACCCCAUUGGGGCACUGGCGGGCCCGAGCCGUGUCGCGUCCCCCCACCCCCCCCACCCCCCCCAACGUGCUGCCUCCCCGUCCCAUUUGUGUCCUCUGGCCAUCGCCCUCUCUGUUAACGCCCAUCACUGCAAAGACCCUUUUCCUUCAUCGGCGUUUGCUGUUCUUCCUGCCAGUGCGUGUUGCUUUCACUUACACUUGCCACAGCCAGCCUCGUGAGUGCCUAGCCUAUUGGAUAUCACUGUCACCUACACAGGACAGUCAUUACCUUUCUAUUAAUACUUUGUGUUUUAAUUUCACAUUAAUUUCCAUAUUGUAUAAACGACUGGAAAAAACUUGAGCCCCUGCCCCUGUAUAAUCAUGUGCACGUCCCUGUUCUAGCUCCAAGGUGAAUCUUCACUGCUCAUGUUCUCCUCAGAAAUAGUCACCUCACUCCCCUCAGGUUACUGUACACAUGCACCAACUAUCUGCUUCAGGUUUGAAAUGGAGCUUCAUGGUUGUCUUUUGGAGAAAUGAACAGUCAAGUUGUGUUUGAAAUUUGAUUUUUUUCAGGGGCAAAAGGAAGCCUCUGCAUUCUUGUCAAAUAUGUAAACAGCAUGUUUUUGCAGGUGCUAAAAAACAGACUCUGAGUGUGUGUGUGUGUGUGUGUCUGUGUGUGUGUGUGUGUGUGUGUGUG